GGGGUUAUAGUUAAAUUAACAUCUAAUUUGCAAUUAGAAGAUACUUAAAUUAAGUUAUCCUCA
RNAcentral lists this transfer RNA (63 nucleotides) under Geocoris pallidipennis. RNAcentral's name for it is "tRNA-Ala". The record is from RNAcentral. Lineage: Eukaryota; Metazoa; Arthropoda; Insecta; Hemiptera; Geocoridae.